CUGAAUAUUGGCCGUUUAUCAGUGCCCAAGUACGCGAGUACGUACUCGCGUUCUCGGUGAGUACGUACCCGCCGAGAACGCACGGGAGUACGUACCCGCCGAGAACGCACGGGAGUACGUACCCGCCGAGAACGCACGGGAGUACGUACCUGCCGAGAACGCGAGCACGGACUCGUCGGCCGUUUCUCAAUUCUCAAGUACGCGAGCACGGACUCGUGAUUUGUACAGUCGGAACACCUGCGUGCGUGAUGAUGUCACAGGUCCGGAGUUUUUACUGCCGUCCCCUCCUAAUUUAACUGUGAUGUUUCCAGCUUCUUUAUCCCACCUGACGCCUGGACUGCUGUCUGUGGUCUUCAGCAUGAUCACAAUGUGUUAUUUAUGUAUUUUGACUGGUUUAAAAUGACAGGACAGUAAGCAUUAUCAGUGUAUAUUCCAAUAAAAGCAUCUAGUUUUUUA
This is a long non-coding RNA of Pelmatolapia mariae (spotted tilapia), 456 nucleotides long. RefSeq lists it as uncharacterized. The record is from RefSeq and is a predicted model, not a curated record. The transcript is spliced from 2 exons. NCBI's taxonomy places the organism in Eukaryota, Metazoa, Chordata, Actinopteri, Cichliformes, Cichlidae.